AAACCUUGGCAAAAGAAGGUUCGAGUAAAUUUAGACACAUGACAAGCCACUUUGGAGAAGAACAGAUAAGUCUACUUCUGCGAAAACAAGUAUAUACCCAUACGAGUAUUUUGAUUCCGAGGCAAAGUUUGUAGAAACUCAACUACCACCGAUUGAAGAUUUUUAUAGUACACUAUCGGGAGAAGGUAUAACCACACUGGACUAUGCGCAUGCACAACAGGUAUGGCAAUUGUUUAACAUACAGAAUCUCGGACAGUACCACGAUCUAUACGUUCUAUCAGAUGUCCUUGCAUUAGCCGACGUCUUUGAAAAUUUCAGGGAGAUCUGUCUCAACUACUAUGGACUGGAUGCUGCACAUUUCUAUACCUCGCCCGGUUUAGCCUGGCAAGCUGCCUUGAAAAUGACAGGUGUGAAUUUAGAAUUACUCACUGACGUAGACAUGCAUUUGUUUAUAGAGAAAGGUUUAAGAGGGGAAUAUCAACGAUAUCCCAGCGUCAUGCUAAAGCUAACAAUAAAAAUGUUCCAAAUUACGACGAAAAUGAACCAAAUAGCCAUGUGAUGUACCUAGAUGCCAACAACUUAUACGGAUGGGCCAUGUCUCAGGCUCUUCCUGUUAAAGACUUCAAAUGGCUAGACGAUUGUGAAAUUGAAAACCUUCAUAUAAGUGACAUUGCAGAUGAGAAUGAAAAUGGUUAUAUACUAGAAGUUGACCUAGAAUAUCCAAAGGAACUGCACGAUGACCACAGCGAAUAUCCACUCGCUCCCGAAAAGUUGAAGGUUACAGAUGAAAUGUUAUCGCCCUAUGCGAAAAAGCUAUUGGAAGAUUUAGAUUUAAAAGGAACGUCGACAGAAAAAUUGAUACCGAAUUUAUAUCCAAAGGAAAAAUACGUGGUACAUUAUAGAAAUUUGAAACUCUACUUAUCUCUUGGAAUGAGACUUACCAAGAUUCAUAGGGUACUCGCGUUUGAACAACGACCCUGGCUAAAAAAAUAUAUCGAUUUUAACACAGAGAAAAGAAAA
Molecule: long non-coding RNA, 1020 nt
Filed under: Mytilus galloprovincialis (Mediterranean mussel)
Lineage: Eukaryota; Metazoa; Mollusca; Bivalvia; Mytilida; Mytilidae
Source: RNAcentral